GAUGAACGCUAGCUACAGGCUUAACACAUGCAAGUCGAGGGGAAACGACAUCGAAAGCUUGCUUUUGAUGGGCGUCGACCGGCGCACGGGUGAGUAACGCGUAUCCAACCUGCCCAUCACUUGGGAAUAACCUUGCGAAAGUAAGACUAAUACCCAAUGACGUCUCUAGAAGACAUCUGAAAGAGAUCAAAGAUUUAUCGGUGAUGGAUGGGGAUGCGUCUGAUUAGCUUGUUGGCGGGGUAACGGCCCACCAAGGCGACGAUCAGUAGGGGUUCUGAGAGGAAGGUCCCCCACAUUGGAACUGAGACACGGUCCAAACUCCUACGGGAGGCAGCAGUGAGGAAUAUUGGUCAAUGGGCGAGAGCCUGAACCAGCCAAGUAGCGUGCAGGAAGACGGCCCUAUGGGUUGUAAACUGCUUUUAUAAGGGAAUAAAGUGAGUCUCGUGAGACUUUUUGCAUGUACCUUAUGAAUAAGGACCGGCUAAUUCCGUGCCAGCAGCCG
RNAcentral lists this ribosomal RNA (502 nucleotides) under uncultured bacterium. RNAcentral's name for it is "bacterial SSU rRNA". It matches the Rfam family "Bacterial small subunit ribosomal RNA", at positions 28 to 517 of the family's 1533-position model. The record is from RNAcentral.